UAGCAUUCAAUAAGCGGAGGAAAAGAAACUAACAAGGAUUCCCCUAGUAACUGCGAGUGAAGCGGGAAAAGCUCAAAUUUAAAAUCUGGUGGUCUCUGGCCAUCCGAGUUGUAAUUUAGAGAAGCGUUUUCCGCGCUGGACCGUGCACAAGUCUCCUGGAAUGGAGCGUCAUAGAGGGUGAGAAUCCCGUCUUUGGCACGGACCCCCAGGGCUUUCGUGAUGCGCUCUCGAAGAGUCGAGUUGUUUGGGAAUGCAGCUCAAAAUGGGUGGUGAACUCCAUCUAAAGCUAAAUAUAGGCGAGAGACCGAUAGCGAACAAGUACCGUGAGGGAAAGAUGAAAAGCACUUUGGAAAGAGAGUGAAACAGUACGUGAAAUUGUUGAAAGGGAAACGCUUGAAGUCAGUCGCGUCUACCGAGACUCAGCCUCGCCUCGGCUUGGUGUACUUCUCGGUUGACGGGUCAGUGUCAAUUUUGCCCCUCGGAUAAUGGCAGCAGAAAGGUGGCACCUUUCACGGGUGUGUUAUAGUCUUCUGUCGCAUGCGGGGGUCGGGAUUGAGGAACUCAGCACGCACCUUCUUGGUGUCGGGGCUUCGGCUCACGCUACGUGCUUAGGAUGCUGGCGUAAUGGCUUUAAACGACCCGUCUUGAAACACGGACCAAGGAGUCUAACAUGCCCGCGAGUGUUCGGGUGGAAAACCCGGGCGCGUAAUGAAAGUGAAAGUUGGGACCCCUGUCGUGGGGGGCACCGAUGCCCGGACCAGACCUUCUGUGACGGAUCCGCGGUAGAGCGUGCAUGUUGGGACCCGAAAGAUGGUGAACUAUGCCUGAGUAGGGUGAAGCCAGAGGAAACUCUGGUGGAGGCUCGUAGCGAUUCUGACGUGCAAAUCGAUCGUCAAAUUUGGGUAUAGGGGCGAAAGACUAAUCGAA
Molecule: ribosomal RNA, 927 nt
Filed under: Russula cylindrica
Lineage: Eukaryota; Fungi; Basidiomycota; Agaricomycetes; Russulales; Russulaceae
Description: partial large subunit ribosomal RNA
Rfam family: Eukaryotic large subunit ribosomal RNA
Source: RNAcentral